UUGCACGCUGGCGGCAUGCCUUACACAUGCAAGUCGAACGGCAGCACGGGUGCUUGCACCUGGUGGCGAGUGGCGAACGGGUGAGUAAUACAUCGGAACAUGUCCUGUAGUGGGGGAUAGCCCGGCUAAAGCCGGAUUAAUACCGCAUACGAUCUACGGAUGAAAGCGGGGGACCUUCGGGCCUCGCGCUAUAGGGUUGGCCGAUGGCUGAUUAGCUAGUUGGUGGGGUAAAGGCCUACCAAGGCGACGAUCAGUAGCUGGUCUGAGAGGACGACCAGCCACACUGGGACUGAGACACGGCCCAGACUCCUACGGGAGGCAGCAGUGGGGAAUUUUGGACAAUGGGCGAAAGCCUGAUCCAGCAAUGCCGCGUGUGUGAAGAAGGCCUUCGGGUUGUAAAGCACUUUUGUCCGGAAAGAAAUCCUUGGCCCUAAUACGGUCGGGGGAUGACGGUACCGGAAGAAUAAGCACCGGCUAACUACGUG
This 485-nucleotide ribosomal RNA is filed under the name uncultured bacterium. RNAcentral's name for it is "partial 16S ribosomal RNA". It matches the Rfam family "Bacterial small subunit ribosomal RNA", at positions 30 to 507 of the family's 1533-position model. The record is from RNAcentral.